Molecule: ribosomal RNA, 562 nt
Filed under: uncultured archaeon
Lineage: Archaea
Description: bacterial SSU rRNA
Rfam family: Archaeal small subunit ribosomal RNA
Source: RNAcentral
UAUUGAUCCUGCCGGACCUGACUGCUAUCGGUUUGGUACUAAGCCAUGCGAGUCGUUGUAGCAAUACAAGGCGGACUGCUCAGUAACACGUAGUUAACUUAACCUAUGAAUGGGCAUAACCUCGGGAAACUGAGAAUAAUACCCAAUGGACCACAGUGCCUGGAAUGGCCUGUGGUUGAAAUGAUUUAUCGCCGUAGGAUAGGACUGCGGCCUAUCAGCUUGUUGGUGAGGUAAUGGCCCACCAAGGCUAUAACAGGUACGGGCUCUGAGAGGAGGGGCCCGGAGAUGGGUACUGAGACACGGACCCAGGCCCUAUGGGGCGCAGCAGGCGAGAAACCUUUGCAAUGUGCGAAAGCACGACAAGGUUAAUCCGAGUGUCUCCUGCUAAAGGAGUCUUUUGUCAGUUGUAGAAUCACUGGUGAAUAAGGGGUGGGCAAGUUCUGGUGUCAGCCGCCGCGGUAAAACCAGCACCUCGAGUGGUCAGGAGGUUUAUUGGGCCUAAAGCAUCCGUAGCCGGUUGCAUAAGUUUUCGGUUAAAUCUAUGCGCUUAACGUAUAGGCCG